UAUCCGGAUUUAUUGGGUUUAAAGGGUGCGUAGGCGGUUUAUUAAGUUAGUGGUUAAAUAUUUGAGCUAAACUCAAUUGUGCCAUUAAUACUGGUAAACUGGAGUACAGACGAGGUAGGCGGAAUGUAAGUUAAGUAGCGGUGAAAUGCUUAGAUAUAACUUAGAACUCCGAUAGCGAAGGCAGCUUACCAGACUGUAACUGACGCUGAUGCACGAGAGCGUGGGUAGCGAACAGGAUUAGAUACCCUGGUAGUCCACGCCGUAAACGAUGCUCACUGGUUCUGUGCGAUAUAUUGUACGGGAUUAAGCGAAAGUAUUAAGUGAGCCACCUGGGGAGUACGUCGGCAACGAUGAAACUCAAAGGAAUUGACGGGGGCCCGCACAAGCGGAGGAACAUGUGGUUUAAUUCGAUGAUACGCGAGGAACCUUACCUGGGUUUAAAUGGGAAAUGCCGUAUUUGGAAACAGAUAUUCUCUUCGGAGCGUUUUUCAAGGUGCUGCAUGGUUGUCGUCAGCUCGUGCCGUGAGGUGUCGGGUUAAGUCCCAUAACGAGCGCAACCCUUACCGUUAGUUGCUAGCAUGUAAUGAUGAGCACUCUAACGGGACUGCCACCGUAAGGUGAGAGGAAGGCGGGGAUGACGUCAAAUCAGCACGGCCCUUACACCCAGGGCUACACACGUGUUACAAUGGCCGGUACAGAGGGCCGCUACCAGGUGACUGGAUGCCAAUCUCAAAAGCCGGUCGUAGUUCGGAUUGGAGUCUGUAACCCGACUCCAUGAAGUUGGAUUCGCUAGUAAUCGCGCAUCAGCCAU
RNAcentral lists this ribosomal RNA (811 nucleotides) under human gut metagenome. RNAcentral describes it as "bacterial SSU rRNA". It matches the Rfam family "Bacterial small subunit ribosomal RNA", at positions 542 to 1355 of the family's 1533-position model. The record is from RNAcentral.